GACUAUGAUGGUGGACGGACAAG
This 23-nucleotide non-coding RNA is filed under the name Cricetulus griseus (Chinese hamster). Lineage: Eukaryota; Metazoa; Chordata; Mammalia; Rodentia; Cricetidae. The record is from RNAcentral.